AACCGAUGUGGUGCAGUGGUUAGCACCUACGACUGCCUGCUACGCAGAAUAUUCCGGGUUCAAUUCCCGGUGUGGUCA
Molecule: non-coding RNA, 78 nt
Organism: Phthorimaea operculella (potato tuberworm)
Lineage: Eukaryota; Metazoa; Arthropoda; Insecta; Lepidoptera; Gelechiidae
Source: the annotation of a GenBank genome assembly